UGCAAUUAAUGACAAUAAUCUCAACUAUUCACAAUGAUUAUCUAGGUCUUUGAUUAUAUAUUUAUACAUCUGAUGAUAUUCAAGUUUCGAAUCGUAACUGUGUCUGUCAUGUCUCGUGAUGUAGGCUACCAGUAACAAAAUAUGCAAGCAUUGUCGACGAAGACACUCUGGAGUAUAACUUUCCAAACUUCUUGGACAUAGCCGGAUUUGAAGAUAUUGAUGAUGAAAUGACACAAGGGCUUCUAAAUCUCAUAUUCUAUGGGAGAAUUCCUUAUAACAUACCACUCUAUAAGGUUGCAGAAGAUAUCAGAAAAUAUGGACGGUGGUACACUGAUGCUAAAUAUCCAGUAACCCCAGAAAGCAAGAAGAUCGACAGGAUCAUUUUCAUUGCUUCAGCAAGAAAUCCUAAUUUACCAACACAACUCAUGAAGGCUGUAUCAACAGUGCAGUGGAGAAAGAGAGAUAUUCCACUAUUUGGUGUGUUGACAAACAAGGAUCGAAGGACCAAAAAUGAAGAAGAUUUUGAUCAGUUUGAGAGUUCAAGACAACGCUCGGGCUGUCUCAUUUGCAUUAUUUUCGCUGUACGAAUUACUGUGAUGAUAAUAUAGAAGAAAUUCGAUCAGGGACAGCGGCAAACAAUCCAGAGAUAGAUGUUCCUGUUCUGAAAUUCUUGAAACAGAUUUUAGAUCCAGUACUUGAGAACGUUGAUAUUCAUGGAGAGGUUGGAAUGACAUGGCAGAACAUAGUGGAAUGGUUGCACACGCUGUGGACUGCACUACAAAACACAAAUAGACAGCAGUUUACCAUCAUUGUGGUUAUUUCCCUUGUUUUGGUCGUUUUGACCUUGUUGUUGUUUUAAUCUAAGGAUUCUAAGUUCUUUCUAUUUGUAUAAUUACCUACAGUGACACUGGAACACGGGGUUAAUAUGGCCUAUUAUACUUCUACUAUUUGUUCCUUACAUAAAAUAAGGUAGUAAAGUGUGAAUAAUUCUCUUAACAUUACUGUGAAUGGACUAAUCCCCGUGUGUUAGUCAUAUGAACUAAUCUCUGCUUUGGAAGCUAAUUCCUGGUUAUCUGUAAUUCUCUGGAUUUUACUUAUUUAUAGUUGUAACAUGUUUACGGACUAAUCCCGAUGCGUUAGUCAAGACAUAUAUUCCCGUUCUGAAAGUUAAUUCCCCUUCUCUGGAAAUUCUCUAUUUAAUUUUUCUCUACUUUUGUAUACGUAUAAUUAAAAGUUUUAAAACAAUAUCAGGGUUCUCCAUGAGCUGUUUUACUGUGUUGCUCCCGACACAGUAAAAUUUUCUCCGACACAGUAAUGAUCCAAAUUUUAUGCAUGCAACACAGUAAAAAUUUUGCCGACACAGUAAGAUCUGUGAUAAUUAGAAAAUCUAAACACACAAAUUCUCUCUAACUGAGACUUUAAUCAAACAAUUAUAUCGUCUUUCAAUUAUAAAAGUUAGAGCACUUAAACAAUAGGGCUUCACCUUACAUAAUUAAUUAUCUCCUAGACCCUCGCCGGACUUUACGCAUGACGGAACAAAGACAAAUAAUUUGUUUUCACACUUCCAUAGAAGGGUUAAUUGGUAGUUGCAAUAAAAUACAUUGUAUAAUUUAAAAAUAUAUAUAUAUAUGUCUUUUCUUUAGAGUCAUGGCUCUAGAAUAAUUAUAGCACUAUAAGCCAGACAUAACAUCGUAUCGAUUUAAUCAUCCAUUUAAUUGAUGUAAAUAAAUUGCUUAAAAUUUUGUUCAAGGAACUCUUAAAAUAGUUUACUUUUCUGCAGUUUCUUUUUUUAUGUAAUGCGAUAACUCGAUCAAGAAAACUG
Long non-coding RNA from Saccostrea cuccullata (small rock oyster), 1822 nucleotides. RefSeq lists it as uncharacterized. Lineage: Eukaryota; Metazoa; Mollusca; Bivalvia; Ostreida; Ostreidae. The record is from RefSeq and is a predicted model, not a curated record. The transcript has 4 exons.